CGGGGCCAUGUCUGAUGAUGCCUUUGAGUCCAGAGUAGGCAUCUGGAUAUAUCCUCUCCACCAAAGGGCAAAGUCUUUUCUGUAUUGGGUAUAGCUACUCCAUCCUCAAUGCAAAUGACAGAUGUCACCUGAGCACCAAUAUUUACAAUGCAUGCCAUUGAUAACCCAUUCCCAAAAACUGCAGCAAGGCCUUCCUGGUGUACUACUGCUGAGCUAAAGCACAAAUCUCGUAGCACUAUGGAUAUCAUUUCUUUUAUUUCACGAUCGUCGAAUGUUUCUGGCAAAACAAGUAUGGCAGCAUACAUGCUUCUUUCAGAUUGAGGGAUAUGCAGUUUCUUUACCAAAAUCCAAUCCCAAAUAGUAUGAAGCCUCAAGCACCUGCUGCAUGGGAUAAUGUUGUGAAAUGUUCAAGUGUCCUCUGCGAAUAGGUCGGUGUAAGCAAUAGGGCUCUGUGGGGGGUAUUCUUAGUGCUUCCUCACCACAAAUGAAACCUCUGUAUUUAUGCCCACUUGUAGUAGGCUCCUGAGCAUCUGUAUUUUCAUGCUUCUCCGAGGCCUCACCAAUAUGACUUUCAAUUGUUGGUCUUUCUGCACCUGAUGCCAAAGAAGAGUUGGUUUCUUGCUCAUAUACGUUAGCCCAUGUAAAAGCUACAUCCUUCCUGCCACUCUGUGUAUUAUAUCCAUCAACACGUCCUGUCUUGCGCGGAAAAGAAUUGUUGGCAAUCUCUUCAUCCAGAAAAGGGAUCUUCAGCAAUGAAGCAAUAAUAUCAUAUGCCUUCUCACGAUCCAUGUGCUGAGCUGUUGUGACCUGAAUAUUUAGCAUCUGAUCUUUAACAUAAAGUUUGGGCAAUUGAUUGGUAUAGCGAGCAAUGCAGUGAGGGAUAUUAAAGGGAGUGUCCUGCUGUGCAAGGCCGAUCCUGACAUUUGCAGACCCAGGGUUGAUGACAACCAGAUUGGAGCCUCGCUCCGCCAGGAGUUGUGAAGGCACCACCGUCUUCAAGUAAUCCAUGGCGGUGAAGCAGAGCUCCGAGUGGAAGUUGCUAGCUCUGGCCACUGAAUAACGUUUUCCCUUCCGCUCCUGUUUUCUUCUACUUCUCUUCCGCGAUCUUGUACAGAAUUUAUUGAAGUGAGAUAAAACGAUGUCAUAGCUUUCUUCCUCAAUAACCUCAAUGGAAACAAUCCCUAAGUUAAGAUUUUGAGCCAAAUGACAAUAAUCGAAGAAAUUGAAGAUUUUUUUUUUCUUUUUUUUUUUUUUAACAAGC
This 1261-nucleotide unclassified non-coding RNA is filed under the name Hevea brasiliensis (rubber tree). Lineage: Eukaryota; Viridiplantae; Streptophyta; Magnoliopsida; Malpighiales; Euphorbiaceae. The record is from RNAcentral.